UACAGAGGGGGCAAGCGUUAUUCGGAAUUAUUGGGCGUAAAGGGCGCGUAGGCGGCCUUGCAAGUGGCGGGUGAAAUCCCUCGGCUUAACCGAGGAACUGCCUGCCAGACUGCAAGGCUCGAGACCGGGAGAGGUGAGUGGAAUUCCCAGUGUAGCGGUGAAAUGCGUAGAUAUUGGGAGGAACACCAGUGGCGAAGGCGGCUCACUGGACCGAAACUGACGCUGAGGCGCGAAAGCCAGGGGAGCAAACGGG
RNAcentral lists this ribosomal RNA (253 nucleotides) under uncultured bacterium. RNAcentral describes it as "partial 16S ribosomal RNA". It matches the Rfam family "Bacterial small subunit ribosomal RNA", at positions 524 to 776 of the family's 1533-position model. The record is from RNAcentral.